Molecule: ribosomal RNA, 1245 nt
Filed under: human gut metagenome
Description: bacterial LSU rRNA
Rfam family: Bacterial large subunit ribosomal RNA
Source: RNAcentral
CGAAGACAACUAGGAUGUUGGCUCAGAAGCAGCCAUACAUUCAAAGAGUGCGUAAUAGCUCACUAGUCGAGAGGUCCUGCGCCGAAAAUGUCCGGGGCUGAAACACAACACCGAAGCUUAGGAAUGUACGUAAGUACAUUGGUAGAGGAGCAUUCUUAAAGGAGCGAAGCAGUACCGAUAAGGAGCUGUGGACUUUUAAGAAGAGAGAAUGCCGGAAUGAGUAGCGAGAUGGAGGUGAGAAUCCUCCAGGCCGAAUAUCCAAGGUUUCCAGAGUAAAGCUGAUCUGCUCUGGGUAAGUCGGGGCCUAAGGCGAGGCUGAGAGGCGUAGUCGAUGGACAACAGGUUGAGAUUCCUGUACCGUGUAUCAUCAGAACUGUGGGGACACAGAAGGACAACACAUCCCGGGAAUGGGAAUACCGGGGCAAGCGAGGUAGGAGUACGGUUGGCAAAUCCGCCGUACAAUCCGAAUACGUGACGCGGAGCGAACUAAAGUAGUGAAGUGUGUGAUUCCAGCUGUCAAGAAAAGCCGCUAUUGUGUGAUGCACGCCCGUACCGUAAACCGACACAGGUAGAUGAGGAGAGAAUCCUAAGGCCGGCGGGAGAAGCAUUGUUAAGGAACUCGGCAAAAUGACCCCGUAACUUCGGGAGAAGGGGUGCCACAGAGAUGUGGCCGCAGAGAAUAGGCUCAAGCAACUGUUUAGCAAAAACACAGGUCUAUGCAAAACCGAAAGGUGAGGUAUAUGGGCUGACGCCUGCCCGGUGCUGGAAGGUUAAGAGGAGAGGUUAGCGCAAGCGAAGCUUUGAAUUUAAGCCCCAGUAAACGGCGGCCGUAACUAUAACGGUCCUAAGGUAGCGAAAUUCCUUGUCGGGUAAGUUCCGACCCGCACGAAAGGCGUAAUGAUUUGAGCGCUGUCUCGACAAUGCACCCGGUGAAAUUGAAAUACCAGUGAAGAUGCUGGUUACCUGCGCCAGGACGGAAAGACCCCAUGGAGCUUUACUCCAGCUUGAUACUGGGAUUCGGUACUGCAUGUACAGGAUAGGUGGGAGGCCGUGAAGCAAGGACGCCAGUCUUUGUGGAGCCAAUGUUGGGAUACCACCCUUGCGGUAUUGGGUUUCUAACCUGCGCCCAUGACCUGGGCGGGGGACAAUGUCAGGUGGGGAGUUUGACUGGGGCGGUCGCCUCCGAAAGGGUAUCGGAGGCGCUCAAAGGUUCCCUCAGAAUGGUUGGAAACCAUUCGAAGAGUG